UUAAAACAGAAAGAAAAAUCGGGAAGAGCGAUCUAUUCUUCCUCCUCCCCCUUCUUCGCGCGCGCACAGUAACCGGAGAAGACAAUCCGGCAAAUCCGACGCCGUUCAGCCACCUCAGGUCGUUCCAUCGGUCGGAGAGCUCCCUCUUUCCCUCCUUAUCCAUCUCCGCUUGAUUUGGCCGGAGGAAGUGAGAUUGAUGAUGAACAGUGGCGAUCGGAUUUCCAGAUUUUGGAGUGAAUUUCCGACCACUUCUGCUUAGUUUUUGUUGUUAUUGCAGGUAUAAAGAUGGCUGGGCUUGUUGUGGAGAUAGUGUAGGUGAAUUUUGGUGGCCGGAUUUGGGUGUUGGAGUGGUGGCACGUGAAGCCACGCGCCGCUGCUGCCGGUGGUGGUGAGGAGGCUCUGCAAGCCCCUCCAAAACCCAUUCGAUUGAUUUUGAGUUAUGUUUUGGAUUUGAAGUUGUUUGGAUAGUGAAAUUCCAUGGAAAUUUGAUGUUGGACUUGGAUGUUUUGAAUCUUAUGAUUUAUAAAUUUUAUGAGUUAAAUCUCUUGAUUAAA
Molecule: long non-coding RNA, 554 nt
Organism: Rosa rugosa (rugosa rose)
Lineage: Eukaryota; Viridiplantae; Streptophyta; Magnoliopsida; Rosales; Rosaceae
Exons: 2
Source: RefSeq, a predicted model, not a curated record